Capsicum annuum is the source of this 1483-nucleotide long non-coding RNA. RefSeq lists it as uncharacterized. The record is from RefSeq and is a predicted model, not a curated record. Lineage: Eukaryota; Viridiplantae; Streptophyta; Magnoliopsida; Solanales; Solanaceae. The transcript is spliced from 2 exons.
GAAAAGAAACUAGAAAAGAAGAAAAAAAAAUGAAAUUUAAAGCAUAGGUGGGUGAUCUUUGUGUUUAAAUGGAUAUCCAUAUUUUACCCAUUUUGUCCAUAUUUAAAAUGAGUUGAAGUCCAUAUAUACCCAUUUGAAAUAUAAGUGAUCCAAUUCAAUAAAUAUAGGUUAAAUGAACUCUUUUCACAAAUAUAAACUAAAAUUAUCGCCUCUACGGGGCCUAGGGGAAGUAUAAGUGUCGGUGAGAUUGGCCAUUCUGGUAUCAAAAAGUCAAUUCCUGGUCACCAGACAGCAAAGGCUAAUCCACCAACUUGCCCAAAGUUACAAAUAAAAUUUCCAAGCAGAGGACCGUCUGGAAUUCAGCUUGUUGAGCCUCAAUAUAGACUGUUUGUUGAAGUUAGUGACAGCUCAAAGGUUCUUUGACACGAUAGUGGCAUGAGAGGCUGCUGGUUCAGGUGUACGGUCUUACAGGUAUCAGAAAAAACAUCUGAAAUUUCAAUAUGAUGACAUCCAGGAUUAUGACGGUUCUGAAAAGCUCGAGGUACCUUGAUCACUGCAACUAUAACGUAUGAUCUACUUACAUAUAUUGAGUAGUCCUUUCUCCCUUCACCCUAUUUCGUCAUAACCUUUGGCUAACUUAUAGGAAUGGAUUUCUUCGUACAGUGUUACAGGCCCUGAUAAAUAGGGCAUGAGAUGCACAGGUUUACUUCAGACCCAGCCUCUAGCGGAUUCUUAUAACUAUUUCUUUGAAGUAGGAGCUGUAGUAGAAGCUUAGUCGUCUAACGGGUGGUGGGAAAGUGUUGUUGCUGGAUUUGAUGUCUAUGGAAGCGGUCAUCUUCAGGUGAGAAUAGAUUAUUGGAGAUUCCAAGAUGAACGUGAGGACUUAAAGAGAUUGUAUAUGUGACAAAUGGGUUGAAGUCGAUGGAAAGAAAGACAUAAAAUCGUUCAUAUGCUCGAGUUUAACUGAUGUAUCCAAGUGCAGUAUUAAUAAGCUUGGGAACUGCAAAAACCAGAUGGCUCCCGUGCUUGUGGCAGCUGAAGACAAUAAAUGGCGUCAACUUCUAAACACCCAACGGAGAAGCAAGACACUAAUGUGCUUAAACUAGAAAAACGAUGGUGUAUUGAUUUUCUUGCAGGAAACAAUUGUUGGGUUCAAAGUGUGUAUGAAGUGUGAAUGAAAAAUGGAAAAUGGUGGAGGAAAAAAGACACCCAAUUUAGAAAGUGUACUCCAAAUUGGAAAGUUCCCUAAUUCUCCCACAUUGGUGGGAGAAGGGAACUUUGGAGUGUUUAUAAUAAGUACACUUAUUCCACAUGGUAAGUGAUGCAAAAAAUAAGAGAUGCCUCGCGCUGUUGUCUCUCGGCUCGUCUUCGGAUUUGGAUUUGGCAAAUGAUCGAUCGAUGAGAUCUAUCUUUUUUGGACAAAGUUUAUUUGACGGAAAUAAAGAAAAAAUGCAGUAAAAUAUUUUCUGGUAUUGGUACUCCA